Molecule: transfer RNA, 67 nt
Filed under: Opisthoplatia orientalis
Lineage: Eukaryota; Metazoa; Arthropoda; Insecta; Blattodea; Blaberidae
Description: tRNA-Tyr
Source: RNAcentral
AGUAGAAUGGCUGAGAAAAAUAGGUGAAAGAUUGUAAAUCUUUUAAGGAGAUUAAACUCUUCUACUA